RNAcentral lists this ribosomal RNA (328 nucleotides) under Brugia sp. C032. RNAcentral describes it as "partial small subunit ribosomal RNA". Lineage: Eukaryota; Metazoa; Nematoda; Chromadorea; Rhabditida; Onchocercidae. The record is from RNAcentral.
AAAUGUUUUAGUUUUUUUAUCAUUUGAAGAGACAAUUAAAAUUUGGUUUUUGAACUGGAUUAGUACCCAGGUAAUCAAAAUUAAUUAAUUCGGGAGUAAAGUUUUAUUUAAACCGAAAAAAUAUUGACUGACUUUGGAUUUUUCUUUGGAAUAUGCGUAUGGAGAGCCCUCCUUUUUAGUUAACUCUAUCGGCACAUGUAUGAUUGUUUAGUUUUUAUUUUAUUUGUAAUGCUUUUAUGUUUUGUCAUUUAAAACAGAUAUAUAUUUGGCUUAUGGGUUUGUGAUCGUGUGUUACUAUUAUUAAUUUUUUUUGGAUUAUUUUUUUAUU